Molecule: ribosomal RNA, 492 nt
Filed under: uncultured bacterium
Lineage: Bacteria
Description: partial 16S ribosomal RNA
Rfam family: Bacterial small subunit ribosomal RNA
Source: RNAcentral
AGUGAACGCUGGCGGUAGGCCUAACACAUGCAAGUCGAACGGCAGCACAGUAAGAGCUUGCUCUUACGGGUGGCGAGUGGCGGACGGGUGAGGAAUACAUCGGAAUCUACUUUUUCGUGGGGGAUAACGUAGGGAAACUUACGCUAAUACCGCAUACGACCUACGGGUGAAAGCAGGGGAUCUUCGGACCUUGCGCGAUUGAAUGAGCCGAUGUCGGAUUAGCUAGUUGGCGGGGUAAAGGCCCACCAAGGCGACGAUCCGUAGCUGGUCUGAGAGGAUGAUCAGCCACACUGGAACGGAGACACGGUCCAGACUCCUACGGGAGGCAGCAGUGGGGAAUAUUGGGCAAUGGGCGCAAGCCUGAUCCAGCCAUACCGCGUGGGUGAAGAAGGCCUUCGGGUUGUAAAGCCCUUUUGUUGGGAAAGAAAAGCAGCAGGUUAAUACCCCGCUGUUCUGACGGUACCAAAAGAAUAAGCACCGGCUAACUACGUG